CACGUAGGGCGCAAGCGUUGUCCGGAAUCAUUGGGCGUAAAGCGCGCGUAGGUGGCCUCAUAAGUCCGCUGUGAAAGUCAAAGGCUCAACCUUUGAAAGCCGGUGGAUACUGUGAGGCUAGAGUACGGAAGAGGCGAGUGGAAUUCCUGGUGUAGCGGUGGAAUGCGCAGAUAUCAGGAGGAACACCAAUAGCGAAGGCAGCUCGCUGGGACGUUACUGACACUGAGGCGCGAAAGCGUGGGGAGCGAACAGG
RNAcentral lists this ribosomal RNA (253 nucleotides) under uncultured bacterium. RNAcentral describes it as "partial 16S ribosomal RNA". It matches the Rfam family "Bacterial small subunit ribosomal RNA", at positions 524 to 776 of the family's 1533-position model. The record is from RNAcentral.